GUUUUCCUUUGAAAGGAAAGAAAAACCUAUACUAAAAUUGGAACGAUACAGAGAAGAUUAGCAUGGCCCUUUCAAGCCUAUAUCUUGUCUACUUAGGUAAAGAAAUUAGUC
RNAcentral lists this small nuclear RNA (111 nucleotides) under Naja naja (Indian cobra). Lineage: Eukaryota; Metazoa; Chordata; Lepidosauria; Squamata; Elapidae. The record is from RNAcentral.